The sequence is a regulatory RNA element, 113 nucleotides long. It matches the Rfam family "23S methyl RNA motif". The record is from Rfam.
UUAUUUCUGGCUUUUAUCAGGGCUUGCUUUUGGGAAAUUGAUAAAAGUUAGCGAUGAAAAAUUUAACUAACGUACCGUCUCGCCGUGCAGUCACCGAGGUGGUGCGUUUUUUU